RNAcentral lists this unclassified non-coding RNA (4182 nucleotides) under Leishmania donovani. Its description in RNAcentral is "gene:LdHU3.07.1470(CDS-product:hypothetical_prote in_conserved)". The record is from RNAcentral. Lineage: Eukaryota; Euglenozoa; Kinetoplastea; Trypanosomatida; Trypanosomatidae.
CCCAACGGCUGUUUUAGCGCAUGCUGCGCCGGACGCAAACGCCCCUCCCCCUCGCUCAGGCACAAGAGAGACAGCAGCGCCGACUUCUCUGUUCUUCCCACCUUCCACUCGCUCGAGAGCUGAAGGCCUGCGCGCACCUUCACAGGAGGGGUCAGAGCGUCUGCUGGCCGUCCAUACACUCCUCACAUACGCCAUUGCGCGGGCUCAGGCACACCACACACACACAUACAUAUAUAUAUAUAUAUACAUAUAUACAUAAACAUAUAUACAUAUAUACAUAUAUUAUAUACGCACAUCUGUGCAGCGCGCGCCACGGGCGCAUCCGCCUAUCGAUAGCGGUGCUCACCUCGUCUUCUCAACGUUUCUUCUUCGCGCGCUUUGGUUGCCGCCGCUGGAGGAUUUGGGGACUUCUGCGCCGUUCACGCCUCAGCUCGACCGCUGCCACUGGCAGAGAAGCCGCGGAAGCCAUAUACACGCCGACACACGCACGGAGGCAGAGACACAAUGGACGUCCUGCACACGGCCUCUGUUGAUGGACGCAUCUGCUGCGCGGCCAACGAGGAGGUAUGGGUAGCGAAGCAGAGCGGAGGCAUCGCCGUCUUCUCGGCGCGCUCCGGAGACCAUAUGACGGACAUCGCCCUCAAGGCCGAUGACGGCUCAACGGCGGCGCAGGUCACACACAUGAUGGCGGUCUUUGGGGAGGUGUGGGUGAGCACGAAAGAGGGUCGCGUUCACUUCUACGAGCUCGCCACGCACACGCCGGUGGACUCAAUGCUCAUUCCUGGGGCAGAGAAAAAGGUGCAGGUGGUGAAUCUCUCCUUCAACGGCCACGUCGCCGUCAUAGCCACCGCCAGCGGUUCUGUGUAUGUUCAUCACCCUCUGAAUCACCAGCGGCUCGGCACCCUUUCCACGUCCACAUCCCCGUGCACGGCAGCGAUUCAGUUCUACAGCUUCGUCGUUGGCGGGGAUGCGAGCGGUGCCUUGUAUCUCUGGGACCCGGUAACCGGUGAGUGCGUCAUCUAUCACGGCGGGAGCAAGAGUGAAGUCGUGGCGCUGCUGCACGAGCCUACCACCGGAACGAUAUGGGUGUCCCGAGCGAAUGAGCACGUCGAUAUAUACGCAGUGAAGGACGGAGCGCUGCAACUGCAGCGUCGGGUGAGCGGGAUCGGGCGGGUUACAGGGAUGGUGGCGGUGUCUGGCACUGUGGUGGCGACCACCUGCACGAAGCGCCUCGUACAGAUCGAGGCGACCACGGCGAAGAUCACUGUCAGCGUGGCGGGCGCGCACGACAAGUUCAUCCACGGCUGCUGCAAGGCGAUGCACCAGGAGGUGGCGCAGGUGUGGAGUGUCGGCAAUGAUGGCACGCUGCGCGUCUGGCAUGUUGCAGGGCUGCAGGUGCCGGUGGUGCCUCUGCCGAAGCUACCGCCCGCCGCGCAAGCCGCGCUCACCUCCGCCGUGGAGGAUACGCUGAAUCCACAGCAGAGCGAGCUGCGGGCGGAAGCGCAGGCAGAGCUGCAUAGCCGGAUGAGCAUGGAAGACAAGCUCAUGAAGGCGCGUGAGGAGGCGCAGGAGCUGCGACUGCGCAUCUUUAAGGAGGAGGAAAGGCGGCUCAUGGUGGAUGCGGCGCUGACAGCAGAGCGGAAGCACCGCAAGGAGCUAGAGGAGCGCAACGCGAAGCUGGCGAAGGAGGUGACAGACAUUGCGUCUAACGUGGCCGUCGCCGAGCGGGAGCGCAACGGCCUGCGCGCCGAAGUAACGCAGCUCAAGAUGGACCUUUCCAACGCCCGCACGGAGACGAGCGUCAAACAGACGGAGAAGUCAAGCAUCGAGAGGCAGCUGUCGGAGGAGCGGACAAAGAAAGACACGUUGGAGCAACGCCUGCGCGACGUGGAGGGGAUGCUGAGCUCCCUGCAAGCGGAGCACCGCCGCAUGUGUGAGGCACUGGGCAGCGCUACCGCCCACCAGCAGACGAGCAAGGCGCCCACGGAUGCCUUGAUGAGCAGAGGUGCGGCGCUGAGCGCGGAGCUGGAGCACGCGCGAAAGAUGAACGCGCUUAUGGGGUCUGCCAUCGCGUCGAUGGAGUACACCAUCCGCCGCCGCGAGGAGGAGGACCGUGACUUGGUGGCGCUGCUGAAUGCCUUUCGUGGUCGCGUCGCCGACCGUGUCACAGACCCGAACCUCUCUGCGCUUCUCCUCGCCACCAUCGUACGCAAUGCCCCGCGCUUCGACCUUCAGUGCGACGAGUUCACAAAGGCGGAGCUGAUGGAGCGCAACGGGCCAUUCCUGCAGUUCAUUCAGUCCCUCCGCGCCACCGACCCGGAGGCUUACCGGAAGCUAAUGCAGUACCUGCAGAACCCCUCCAUAGCCCAGGGGCUGCCGGCUGAUACGCAGGCGCUGCUAGACCGCUUCGUCGCGCUCGCCUCGAAGGAAGGCGAGGUGUCCGGCGAGGACAUCGCCAACUUUAAAAAGACGAUUCCCUGCCUCACAGACUCGGUGGCAGUGCAGGGCGCCGGCCAGAUUGGAAGUGGCAGCAGCACCGCUCCGGCUGAUUUUCCGGCGUUGCUCGGCGCCGACGCGAGUGGUAGCGGCAAACCUGGGGGAGAUGUCGUGGCGCCGGGCAGGCUCCUUGGCAACAACACCGACGGCGGUCUCACAAUACAGGAGGAGGUUGUGAACAAUGCCUUGAUGCGCGAGCUACACGGGCAGCGGGUGAUAGAUGAGAACUACAUUCGCGAGCAGCAGACCAUGUUCGAGUUCAUUCUCAAGACGCGCCGACUUCUAGUCGAGAGCCUUGCUAUUCUGCACAAGCGCACAGUGAGCGCGCGGCAGGUGGUGGAUGCACUGUGUGUGAACACCUCUGCCCACAGCACUUCCUCGCCGGCCACGACGCCGUCGCGGAGGAGUCUUCAGACAUUGCACAGCAUCUUCAGCGGCGUCGUGCGCGAGCUGGAGGAGCUGACCACCGAAGUGAUCCAGCGCUACCUCUCUGGAGCUGAAAAGCAGCGUCUUGGUGUGGCGCAGUAAAGUGUGUGGGGGGGGGCGCGUGAGCCGUAGCCUCAGCGGGAUAGGGCAGCAGAGGGAGGUGAAGGCGCAGAGGAGCUCCGUGUGUCCGCUGGACUGCGCACCUCAGUCGCGCUGCUGCUGCCGCUGGUGCUCUCUGCCGACAAACGGAGCGCCUCUACACACCAUGUAUACCCAGUAGAUUACAUAGACUAGACGGCGAGCAUACGUGCACGUCUCUCUUUCCACCUCCUCUCUUGUCUUGCCCCCCUCCCCCUCAAAUCAGCCGCCGUUCUCGGCGGCAGCGCGACUGUACGCUGCGGCGUGACGAGACACGUGUGCUGUGCUCCUGCUCGCGCGCUUGUCGCCGUUGUUGUUGCUGACGAAAGGGGGGGGGCGGACUGAUUCGAGGGCGAGCCGUCGAGUGCCCUUUGCGCUUGAUCGGCCUUUUGACCUUUCCACCUUUUUCUACGGCGACGCGUCGGUGUCGGUGCGCGUGCAAAGACGAGGGCGAACUAAGAAAGCAGGAAACCACGGACUCGAGAGCGAGCGUGUAGCGUCGCUGCGCUGCAUAAAUCGCUUCCCGGCUGUACACGAGGUCCGUCCGCACAUCGGCGCACUCGAUGGCACUCGCUGAUCUGCCCAGGGGCGCUGCCACACGCCGCCGUUUCCUCGUUUUCCGUGAAGGGCACGUUUUCGUUGCUGCUCCGCUUGCACCGCGUGUGUGCGGAAGACUCCUACACAUACACACAGACACAUGCACGUACACGGAGAUGUACAGCUCUUCGUGCUCUCCACCACUACCCGCGGCCCUUUCCAUCUCCCACCGUUGCCUGUUACUCGACGACUGGGUGUUCAAGAUGCGCACCCGUACAUUUCUCCGUGUAGUCUAGCGCUCUCUAUGUUCUUCGCAGCGCCCUCGCCUGAUGAUGAGGAGCACCUCCGUGCGCGGUGCCACAAUGUUCAGUGGCCCCACCCUGUGUGGCUAAGCCAGGGCGAUGCACCGCUACUUGUGCCCAGCGGUUAGACCCUGGACGGCGUGGCGUCGGAGCGACCUGCGACAGUGAACACGCCCGUGCCAUCCAUGCGAUAGGCCGCGUGCCAGCGCGACUCGGACGCAUGUCACCCUCGGCCUUCGCACCGCCUACUGGUGCGGGGAGAGCCCGCGUGUCACACCCCGAG